This 460-nucleotide ribosomal RNA is filed under the name uncultured bacterium. RNAcentral's name for it is "partial 16S ribosomal RNA". It matches the Rfam family "Bacterial small subunit ribosomal RNA", at positions 338 to 795 of the family's 1533-position model. The record is from RNAcentral.
CCUACGGGAGGCAGCAGUGAGGAAUAUUGGUCAAUGGACGAGAGUCUGAACCAGCCAAGUAGCGUGAAGGAUGACGGCCCUAUGGGUUGUAAACUUCUUUUACAAAGGAAUAAAACGAGGCACGUGUGCCUGUUUGCAUGUACUUUAUGAAUAAGGAACGGCCAACUCCGUGCCAGCAGCCGCGGUAAUACGGAGGAUCCGAGCGUUAUCCGGAUUUAUUGGGUUUAAAGGGAGCGUAGAUGGGUUGUUAAGUCAGUUGUGAAAGUUUGCGGCUCAACCGUAAAAUUGCAAUUGAUACUGGCAGUCUUGAGUACAGUUGAGGUAGGCGGAAUGCGUGGUGUAGCGGUGAAAUGCUUAGAUAUCACGAAGAACCCCGAUUGCGAAGGCAGCUUACUAAACUGUGACUGACAUUGAUGCUCGAAAGUGUGGGUAUCAAACAGGAUUAGAUACCCGAGUAGUC